This 253-nucleotide ribosomal RNA is filed under the name uncultured bacterium. RNAcentral's name for it is "partial 16S ribosomal RNA". It matches the Rfam family "Bacterial small subunit ribosomal RNA", at positions 524 to 776 of the family's 1533-position model. The record is from RNAcentral.
UACGUAGGGGGCGAGCGUUGUCCGGAAUCAUUGGGCGUAAAGCGCGUGUAGGCGGUCCGGUAAGUCCGCUGUGAAAGUCGGGGGCUCAACCCUCGAAUGCCGGUGGAUACUGUCGGGCUAGAGUGCGGAAGAGGCGAGUGGAAUUCCUGGUGUAGCGGUGAAAUGCGCAGAUAUCAGGAGGAACACCAAUUGCGAAGGCAGCUCGCUGGGACGUAACUGACGCUGAGACGCGAAAGCGUGGGGAGCAAACAGG